GACGAACGCUGGCGGCGUGCUUAACACAUGCAAGUCGAACGGAAAGGCCCUGCUUUUGUGGGGUGCUCGAGUGGCGAACGGGUGAGUAACACGUGAGUAACCUGCCCUUGACUUUGGGAUAACUUCAGGAAACUGGGGCUAAUACCGGGUAGGAGCUCCUGCUGCAUGGUGGGGGUUGGAAAGUUUCGGCGGUUGGGGAUGGACUCGCGGCUUAUCAGCUUGUUGGUGGGGUAGUGGUUUACCAAGGCUUUGACGGGUAGCCGGCCUGAGAGGGUGACCGGCCACAUUGGGACUGAGAUACGGCCCAGACUCCUACGGGAGGCAGCAGUGGGGAAUAUUGCACAAUGGGCGGAAGCCUGAUGCAGCAACGCCGCGUGCGGGAUGACGGCCUUCGGGUUGUAAACCGCUUUCGCCUGUGACGAAGCGUGAGUGACGGUAAUGGGUAAAGAAGCACCGGCUAACUACGUG
This 468-nucleotide ribosomal RNA is filed under the name uncultured bacterium. Its description in RNAcentral is "partial 16S ribosomal RNA". It matches the Rfam family "Bacterial small subunit ribosomal RNA", at positions 28 to 507 of the family's 1533-position model. The record is from RNAcentral.